RNAcentral lists this transfer RNA (73 nucleotides) under Anaerolineae bacterium. RNAcentral describes it as "tRNA-Thr". It matches the Rfam family "tRNA". Rfam says of the family: Transfer RNA (tRNA) molecules are approximately 80 nucleotides in length. Their secondary structure includes four short double-helical elements and three loops (D, anti-codon, and T loops). Lineage: Bacteria; Bacillati; Chloroflexota; Anaerolineae. The record is from RNAcentral.
GCCAACUUAGCUCAAUCGGCAGAGCGAUCGCUUCGUAAGCGAUAGGUUAUGGGUUCAACUCCCAUAGUUGGCU